This 76-nucleotide transfer RNA is filed under the name Chrysanthemum x morifolium (florist's daisy). RNAcentral's name for it is "tRNA-Ile". The record is from RNAcentral. Lineage: Eukaryota; Viridiplantae; Streptophyta; Magnoliopsida; Asterales; Asteraceae.
CUUUUGGCAUAGUGGGCCCCCAGUGGGGGGCCGCACGACGGGCUAUUAGCUCAGUGGUAGAGCGCGCCCCUGAUAA